This 253-nucleotide ribosomal RNA is filed under the name uncultured bacterium. RNAcentral's name for it is "partial 16S ribosomal RNA". It matches the Rfam family "Bacterial small subunit ribosomal RNA", at positions 524 to 776 of the family's 1533-position model. The record is from RNAcentral.
UACGAAGGGGGCUAGCGUUGCUCGGAAUCACUGGGCGUAAAGCGCACGUAGGCGGAUUCUUAAGUCGGUGGUGAAAUCCUGGAGCUCAACUCCAGAACUGCCUUCGAUACUGGGAGUCUCGAGUUCGGGAGAGGUGAGUGGAACUGCGAGUGUAGAGGUGAAAUUCGUAGAUAUUCGCAAGAACACCAGUGGCGAAGGCGGCUCACUGGCCCGAUACUGACGCUGAGGUGCGAAAGCGUGGGGAGCAAACAGG